GAACUCCUCUUGGUGGCCGGCCUUGUGAGUAGAGAGAGAGAUUGUGUUUUCUCAAUUUUUGGUGAAAGUUAACUCACAAAACCCUAAUGAAACUUUUCACUAUAAAGUUCCUUUUAUAACACAAAGAAACAAGUCAACAACUUGACUUUCUUUCUCUCCCUUUCCCUUUAUUUGGCUGGCCCCUUUAGUGUUGUUUGGGCUUUGGGCUUUUAUCAUUUCAAGUCAUCCUAUGCUUAAAUAAAAGCCCAAUGGGUUUGGGCUUAAUGGGCCCAUAUUAACCCGAACUUUUCUUUAAGUCCAAAACGAUCUUUUAUCGCUUUUAUGAUUUCUUUAGACUUUCUAAUUAAUCACAACACUUAAUUAAUCCAAUUAAUUAUUUCCAUCAUCCAAUAGUUGUCACACUACAAGAGUGUAUCGGUGUACAAUCAUUUUAGGUUCUAAUUAGCAAGGUAGUGAGGUGAUUGGCACCAAUCCAAUUGAUUAUGUUUAAUCCAAUCACUUAGUGAAUUAAAACUUACUUUUAAUUCUCCUUCUUCUUUGACGACUACUUAUUUUAAUCAUCUAGAAGAAUUCACAAGCCAUGAGUGACAUCUAACCAUAUAUCAUGGCUACCCAAGCUAAUGUAGAAUUUGUUCGGAGAACCUAUUCAGUUGGAAAUACAAUGUAAUUCGAUCCUUCUCUAAUACAAUACUCUCAAUCACAUUAUUAGGGUAUGGAUAUAUUAUGUCAAACCCCUAAUGUGAUUAUUCCA
Molecule: long non-coding RNA, 751 nt
Filed under: Malus domestica (apple)
Lineage: Eukaryota; Viridiplantae; Streptophyta; Magnoliopsida; Rosales; Rosaceae
Description: long non-coding RNA (MDOM_LNC013944)
Source: RNAcentral